GACGAACGCUGGCGGCGUGCCUAAUACAUGCAAGUAGAACGCUGAAGAGAGGAGCUUGCUCUUCUUGGAUGAGUUGCGAACGGGUGAGUAACGCGUAGGUAACCUGCCUGGUAGCGGGGGAUAACUAUUGGAAACGAUAGCUAAUACCGCAUAAAAUUGAUUAUUGCAUGAUAAUUAAUUGAAAGAUGCAAUUGCAUCACUACCAGAUGGACCUGCGUUGUAUUAGCUAGUUGGUGAGGUAACGGCUCACCAAGGCGACGAUACAUAGCCGACCUGAGAGGGUGAUCGGCCACACUGGGACUGAGACACGGCCCAGACUCCUACGGGAGGCAGCAGUAGGGAAUCUUCGGCAAUGGGGGGAACCCUGACCGAGCAACGCCGCGUGAGUGAAGAAGGUUUUCGGAUCGUAAAGCUCUGUUGUAAGAGAAGAACGGGUGUGAGAGUGGAAAGUUCACACUGUGACGUAUCUACCAGAAAGGACGG
RNAcentral lists this ribosomal RNA (483 nucleotides) under Streptococcus sanguinis. RNAcentral's name for it is "bacterial SSU rRNA". It matches the Rfam family "Bacterial small subunit ribosomal RNA", at positions 28 to 495 of the family's 1533-position model. Lineage: Bacteria; Bacillati; Bacillota; Bacilli; Lactobacillales; Streptococcaceae. The record is from RNAcentral.